GGAAAAGCAUCAGUCACACAGAACAAAGUAAGCUACUUCUUCGCAAAUCAAGAACCAAUGAUCCACACUGAGGAUUCUUCAAUACCAAAGGAAACGCAAGUCACAGUUAUUUGCCACAGUCUUAUUUUCUAAAUAUGAGAACCUCCUACUAAAAGCAGAAAAACAACCCUGCUGACCCACAUAUAGGGAGGAAACACCCUUUUCUCCAUGUAACCACAGUAAUAAAGAACCUCUGUUGGGGAGUAAAAAUGCACCUUAAUAGUCCCCGUGAGCCUUUUAAAGCCAUAAGAAAUAAGGUCCUGGACCUGAAAAUGGGCCAGGUAGAACAUGCAGAAAAUUUUAAUUAUCCUUGCCAAUGGUCCACUCUAUUAAAAGGUAAUCAAUAGAUGCCUUAAAUUUUUUCCAGAGUGCUUUCAAAUACAUUAUUUUGUUCAACUUCAGAGCCCAUUCCCAGACUGAAACAGGAGCAGGUACUAUCCCCAUUUUUCAGAUCUAGAAAUCAGAGCCAAUAGGAGGGUAAGUAGCUCUUCCAAGAUGGUAAUCAGCAGCAAAGGGAAACUUAAAUCCUGGCUUCCAGCUUGCCAAUCUACUGAGGAAAUCUGCAUCUUUUCAGGCUUAUUUUGAAGUGUUUCCCAAACUGCAGCAUAUAUCAAGUCCAUCACAUGCUGUCCAUUCAGUAAGUAACUGAUAAACUCCACCUCACACAUGGAAGAGGCUGAACACAGUCAUGUAACUAGGGACAUAGGACAGGACCCCAGUUCUCUUAUGGUACGUUCCUAGUACUGGCUUUUAAAAAGACAGAGAGAGGAAAAAAUCAUGAAGUUGGAGGGAAGAUAAGCAGGUUAAAAUCCCUUACACACACACACAAAAUUACAUACUCAGUAUACCUAAAAUUAAUAGAAUACUGUAUGUCAAUUGUAAUUGAAAAAUUUUUUAAGUUAUACCUAAUGAUACCUAAACUCAAUGUUGGUUUUUUUUUAACCUAACAAUAUACUGUUCCAGCUUAAUUGCUUGUCUUUUCCAUCAUUGUAUAUUUUUUUCCUUCCUGUGUGGAAGCUCUCUACCCCUAAACCCUAAGGUAAAACUGUUCGUGGUACCCUCCUUUGAAAUGAGACCUCUAGACUAUGCCAUAUAAAGGAAAAUGGGCUCCUAGGCGUUUCUCCUGUCUAGUAAAAUUUCAGUGACAACACAUGUCAACCCUGGAGACCAAAAAUUAAAAAAAAAAUCUACUUGGAUUUACUGUGAAAAAAAAAAGAUUUCUAGCACAUUAAAACCUACAUGUUAAUUCCUGUGCCAUGAACUUCUUUAAGUAUUCUAUGAAGUCUACAACAAAGGGAGGGAAAUUAAGUGUGAGGAUCACCACCUAUGAAUCUGGGUGGAACAAAGACUUCGCCUUUCAUUAUGCAGAGAACCAAAUUGCCAAAAAAAAAAAAAAAAACGCUCGGCUCAGACACCAUGCAUGGUUAGUGACUGCGAAUCUGGGUACAGAGGAGGCAAAAAUCCGAUGCUGGUCAAACGCUGUCUCUGCCUGCCCCCGCCUCCGGCCCUUUUGGCCAAGGCCUGGCCCCAGAGCUGCAGCCCCAACCUCUUUCUCCCAUUAUAGGGAACCGGCUUAACCCCGGGAGCUCUACGACCUCCCACGUCUCCCAGGCAGGCGCCCCCGCCCGCCCGGGCUCAACCCUGGUUCCUAAUCCAGUCGCCGCCCUCCCCACCCCCCAUGCCCGCCCCAACCCCCAAAGGCUGCUCCCAUAGACUGCCGAGGUAAGAACGGCAGAGCCCGGCCCCGCUGGGGCUGCCCCUGGCUGCCGCUGGCUCCCAGCUCCGCACUCCCCGCUCCUCCGGCCAAGGCGUGUCCACUUCUCGCACGGGCUCGGCGGAGGCGCGAGGAAGGAAGAAUCGGCCCGCCUGCCCCUCUCCCGCCUGUCGGCGUUAGCGAGGUCGGCGGCCGCUCAGCCCGGCCUCCUGCAGACUGCGGUUGUCAAACGGUGCAGAGCCCGGUUCCAGCGCCGAGCCCAGCCAAUCGCCGCGCCUCCCCGAGGCGCCUCAGGACCCCGCCAGUGGGGCGGCCAGGCAGGUGCCUGCGCGGAUAGGAGAGUCGCCUGGGAGGGCCGAGUCCGGCGAGGUGAGGACCCUUCCGGACCCACAGGCUCCCGGCAAUCGUUCCAAGGACUGGCUGGACCCGGAGGAAGAGAGGUCGCGGGGAUUGCGUGAGACCCGCAGCCUGGACGCAGACCCCGGUCGCCGUGACCGUGUGUCCCGAAAUAGCGUAGGGGAUUGUCGCCUGCCAACCUAGACUCCUCUGCGCAUUAGAAUUGUCUUUUAAUAAUCCUCCUGGAUAAUGUGUUAAUACAGGCCAAUGAAAUUAA
This is a long non-coding RNA of Phyllostomus discolor (pale spear-nosed bat), 2366 nucleotides long. RefSeq lists it as uncharacterized. The transcript is spliced from 2 exons. The record is from RefSeq and is a predicted model, not a curated record. NCBI's taxonomy places the organism in Eukaryota, Metazoa, Chordata, Mammalia, Chiroptera, Phyllostomidae.